UACGAAGGGUGCAAGCGUUAGUCGGAAUUACUGGGCGUAAAGCGUGCGCAGGCGGCCUCUUAAGUCAGAUGUGAAAUCCCCGGGCUUAACCUGGGAACUGCGUUUGAAACUGGGAGGCUAGAGUGUGGAAGAGGGGGGUGGAAUUCCAGGUGUAGCAGUGAAAUGCGUAGAGAUCUGGAGGAACACCGAUGGCGAAGGCAGCCCCCUGGGCUGACACUGACGCUCAUGCACGAAAGCGUGGGGAGCAAACAGG
RNAcentral lists this ribosomal RNA (253 nucleotides) under uncultured bacterium. RNAcentral's name for it is "partial 16S ribosomal RNA". It matches the Rfam family "Bacterial small subunit ribosomal RNA", at positions 524 to 776 of the family's 1533-position model. The record is from RNAcentral.